RNAcentral lists this ribosomal RNA (460 nucleotides) under uncultured bacterium. Its description in RNAcentral is "partial 16S ribosomal RNA". It matches the Rfam family "Bacterial small subunit ribosomal RNA", at positions 338 to 795 of the family's 1533-position model. The record is from RNAcentral.
CCUACGGGAGGCAGCAGUGAGGAAUAUUGGUCAAUGGACGCGAGUCUGAACCAGCCAAGUAGCGUGAAGGAUGACUGCCCUAUGGGUUGUAAACUUCUUUUAUAUGGGAAUAAAAUGUUCCACGUGUGGGAUUUUGUAUGUACCAUAUGACUAAGGAUCGGCUAACUCCGUGCCAGCAGCCGCGGUCAUACGGAGGAUCCGAGCGUUAUCCGGAUUUAUUGGGUUUAAAGGGAGCGUAGGUGGAUUGUUAAGUCCGUUGUGAAAGUUUGCGGCUCAACCGUAAAAUUGCAGUUGAUACUGGCAGUCUUGAGUACAGUAGAGGUGGGCGGAAUUCGUGGUGUAGCGGUGAAAUGCUUAGAUAUCACGAAGAACUCCGAUUGCGAAGGCAGUUCACUGGACUGCAACUGACACUGAGGCUCGAAAGUGUGGGUAUCAAACAGGAUUAGAUACCCCUGUAGUC